Long non-coding RNA from Armigeres subalbatus, 430 nucleotides. RefSeq lists it as uncharacterized. The transcript has 3 exons. NCBI's taxonomy places the organism in Eukaryota, Metazoa, Arthropoda, Insecta, Diptera, Culicidae. The record is from RefSeq and is a predicted model, not a curated record.
GAAAAAUAAAAAAAUCGAACGGUCAAAGUGCAAGACGCUUCUUUGCUUUCCGCUUUUUUUGAUUCUGCUAGUGGUUGAAUAGUGAAUCAUUGUCUACUGUGCCUUGUCAUGAUGAACUAUGAAGCUCACUGGAAACCGUAGUUUGCCAUCAAUCGUCAACGUUUUCCAUACAAAACAGCUGCUGCUAUUCGUUUGUCAUAUCCACCGAAUAUAAGAGCUGAUACAGGAUCAGUCCCAAAGAGGAUGCCGGAAGAUAGCGGCCGCAUCAAGCACCGCAAUUAUUACAAUUAGACUACGAACACCAGUACUCUUUAUCAGCAGCUACACUUACGGCAUGCUCAGCGAGUAGCUUUGAAGAGCGCUCAGUAACAGGAUAAAAUAAACACUAUAAAAUUUAGUUAAAACUAAAUUUCAAAGCAAAGAAAUAAAA